UACGAAGGGGGCUAGCGUUGCUCGGAAUCACUGGGCGUAAAGGGUGCGUAGGCGGGUCUUUAAGUCAGGGGUGAAAUCCUGGAGCUCAACUCCAGAACUGCCUUUGAUACUGAGGAUCUUGAGUUCGGGAGAGGUGAGUGGAACUGCGAGUGUAGAGGUGAAAUUCGUAGAUAUUCGCAAGAACACCAGUGGCGAAGGCGGCUCGCUGGACCGGUUCUGACGCUGAUGCGCGAAAGCGUGGGGAGCAAACGGG
This 253-nucleotide ribosomal RNA is filed under the name uncultured bacterium. RNAcentral describes it as "partial 16S ribosomal RNA". It matches the Rfam family "Bacterial small subunit ribosomal RNA", at positions 524 to 776 of the family's 1533-position model. The record is from RNAcentral.